Molecule: small nucleolar RNA, 78 nt
Organism: Triplophysa rosa
Lineage: Eukaryota; Metazoa; Chordata; Actinopteri; Cypriniformes; Nemacheilidae
Product: small nucleolar RNA SNORD49
Exons: 1
Source: RefSeq, a predicted model, not a curated record
GUCUGUGACGAUAACCGCUGUAUAGGAAGUGCCGUCUGAUGCGAUAACUGACGAUGGCAAAGCGAAAUCAUUCUGAGA